GGGAGUGAAAUAGAACCUGAAACCCUGCACUUACAAGCUGUGGAAGCACAUUUCUUGUGUGACCGCGUACUUUUUGUAGAACGGGCCAACGAGUUACGUUAAGUAGCAAGGUUAAGCACUUAAGGUGCGGAGCCGUAGCGAAAGCGAGUUUUAACUGAGCGUUCAGUUACUUGACGUAGACCCGAAACCGGGCGACCUACCCAUGGGCAGGAUGAAGCGAAAGUAAAAUUUCGUGGAGGUCCGAACCCACGAGCGUUGAAAAGCUCGGGGAUGACUUGUGGGUAGCGGUGAAAUUCCAAUCGAGCCCGGAGAUAGCUGGUUCUCCCCGAAAUAGCUUUAGGGCUAGCCUCAAGGUGAGAGAUACGGAGGUAGAGCACUGAAUGUCCUAGGGGGUAUUGCACCUACCGAAGACUAUCAAACUCCGAAUGCCGUCAUCUUAUACUUGGGAGUCAGACUGUGGGUGAUAAGAUUCAUAG
This 476-nucleotide ribosomal RNA is filed under the name Clostridioides difficile. Its description in RNAcentral is "bacterial LSU rRNA". It matches the Rfam family "Bacterial large subunit ribosomal RNA", at positions 534 to 1010 of the family's 2925-position model. The record is from RNAcentral. Lineage: Bacteria; Bacillati; Bacillota; Clostridia; Peptostreptococcales; Peptostreptococcaceae.